Molecule: ribosomal RNA, 254 nt
Filed under: uncultured bacterium
Lineage: Bacteria
Description: partial 16S ribosomal RNA
Rfam family: Bacterial small subunit ribosomal RNA
Source: RNAcentral
UACGGGGGGAGCAAGCGUUGUUCGGAUUUACUGGGCGUAAAGGGCGCGUAGGCGGUCAGCACAAGUCAGUUGUGAAAUCUCCGGGCUUAACUCGGAAAGGUCAACUGAUACUGUGCGACUAGAGUGCAGAAGGGGCAACUGGAAUUCUCGGUGUAGCGGUGAAAUGCGUAGAUAUCGGGAGGAACACCGGUGGCGAAGGCGGCAUCCUGGACCGGCACUGACGCUGAGGAGCGAAAGCCAGGGGAGCAAACGGG